This 1031-nucleotide long non-coding RNA is filed under the name Anas platyrhynchos (mallard). Its description in RNAcentral is "lncRNA (ENSAPLG00020000002.1)". The record is from RNAcentral. Lineage: Eukaryota; Metazoa; Chordata; Aves; Anseriformes; Anatidae.
UGCCAGGAACAGUGAUCAGAAGGAGGCAGUGGACAUUGUUUGAAGGUCCUGUAGGGUUUCCCAGCUCAUGAUAUUGGAGAUGUCCUCCAGAAAGACCUGGAAGGAGAUGUUAUGUUUUCAGAAGAGUGGCUAAUGGCAAGAGUGUGCUAAUUUUUGCUGGGAGUAGAAGGGAGAAUGCAUGUGAGAGAGCAAAAUACUGUGUGGAAGCUCUGUUUUUAGCUCUAAACAUCUCUAGCACCAUAACUAGAAUGCAUGUCUAAGUACUGGUGAUGUUUCCUGCUCCUUCCCUUAUAUAGAGGGAGGCAGAUAUUUCUUUCUCUAAUAAGGUCUGAUAGGGAAUCUGUAGUAUCUACAGGGUUAUUUUUAUUUUCUUAGAAAUCAGUCCUUAACCGUGCAUCUCAGGAGAGAUGGAAAGAGAUGGACCUCAACAGAGCCAAGAUUGAGCACAAAAGGGGGCAACAGGAAGAGAGGCAGCAGAAGAGGCAACAGCAGCAAGAGGAAGAAGCUCUCCGACGCCAGCUACGCCGGAACAACCAGAGGCAGCGAUUGCAUCAGAGAAUGUUGCAAGGGUUGGAGAAACAGCUGGAGCACUGAAGAAAGAGCUUUGCAGCGCACCGCGUUGCUUCAAGUAGCAUGGUCAGAGAGGAGCAGGAAGGAAUCCUUCUUGUCAGAGGAGGAGAACAGAAAGGCAAGUGAGAGGCUGCAGUCCUUACAGACACAGCGAUUGCAGAGAGAGAAAUUGCUUGCAGAACGCAAUGAGAGGAGCUUUGAACAGGAGAAAGAAAGGCUGGAUUUUCUGAAGAGCAGAAUGCAGUCACAGCAGCAAAUGCAGAAGCAAGACUCUCAGGAGCAAGACAGGCAACAAAAGCAGCACCAGGCUGCCAAAAGGAAAGUGUUCCAGAACAGACACCAUUCACAGGAGAAGGCGCAAAAAGAAGACCAAAAGCACUGUGACCUUCAGCAGUACCUCAGGGAACAGAAUCUUUUGAUGCUCCGGGCAUCACUGCUUGCAUAAGGAAACAGCAGAGUGG